AUUGAACGCUGGCGGCAGGCCUAACACAUGCAAGUCGAACGGCUGCACCGUGCUUGCUUGCUGUUUCGGCUGCGGACUGGUGUGCGAUUCCUAGGAAUCUCCCUGUCUGUUUUUUCUUACGUCCUGACACGGGCGCUCAUACUCCAUUCCUCCUUCCGGCGUAAGUGGGUGAUCCUCGGACCUUCCGCUCUUUCGUGAUUCUAUGUCGGAUUAGCUAGUUGGGGGGUUAAAGGCCUACCAAGCCGCCGAUCCGUAGCUGGUCUGAGAGGAUGAUCAGUCACACUGGAACUGAGACACGGUCAAGACUCCUACGGGAGGCAGCAGUGGGGAAUAUUGGACAAUGGGCGAAAGCCUGAUCCAGCCAUACCGCGUGGGUGAAGAAGGCCUUCGGGUUGUAAAGCACUUUUAGUGGGGAAGAAAGGCAGUAGGUUAAUACCAAGCUGUUUUGACGGUACCAAAAGAAUAAGCACCGGCUAACUUCGUG
RNAcentral lists this ribosomal RNA (484 nucleotides) under uncultured bacterium. RNAcentral describes it as "partial 16S ribosomal RNA". It matches the Rfam family "Bacterial small subunit ribosomal RNA", at positions 30 to 507 of the family's 1533-position model. The record is from RNAcentral.